GCGGGCGUAAUUCAGCGGUAGAAUGCCACCUUCCCAAGGUGGACGUCGUGGGUUCGAUCCCCAUCGCCCGCUCCA
RNAcentral lists this transfer RNA (75 nucleotides) under Acidobacteriota bacterium. RNAcentral's name for it is "tRNA-Gly". It matches the Rfam family "tRNA". Rfam says of the family: Transfer RNA (tRNA) molecules are approximately 80 nucleotides in length. Their secondary structure includes four short double-helical elements and three loops (D, anti-codon, and T loops). Further hydrogen bonds mediate the characteristic L-shaped molecular structure. tRNAs have two regions of fundamental functional importance: the anti-codon, which is responsible for specific mRNA codon recognition, and the 3' end, to which the tRNAs corresponding amino acid is attached (by aminoacyl-tRNA synthetases). tRNAs cope with the degeneracy of the genetic code in two manners: having more than one tRNA (with a specific anti-codon) for a particular amino acid; and 'wobble' base-pairing, i.e. permitting non-standard base-pairing at the 3rd anti-codon position. Lineage: Bacteria; Pseudomonadati; Acidobacteriota. The record is from RNAcentral. RNAcentral also lists the same sequence under 1 other name.